GAUGAACGCUGGCGGUAUGCCUAACACAUGCAAGUCGUACGAGAGUUUUUAACUCUAGUGGCGGACGGGUGAGUAACACGUGAGAAUUUGCCUUUAGGAGGGGGACAACAAUCGGAAACGAAUGCUAAUACCCCAUAUGCUUUCGAGUGAAAUGGAUUUUAUCCGCCUAGAGAGAAGCUCGCGGCUGAUUAGCUUGUUGGUAAGGUAAGAGCUUACCAAGGCGACGAUCAGUAUCUGGUUUGAGAGGACGAUCAGACACACUGGAACUGAGACACGGUCCAGACUCCUACGGAGGCAGCAGUGGGGAAUUUUCCGGCAAUGGGC
RNAcentral lists this ribosomal RNA (324 nucleotides) under uncultured bacterium. RNAcentral's name for it is "bacterial SSU rRNA". It matches the Rfam family "Bacterial small subunit ribosomal RNA", at positions 28 to 376 of the family's 1533-position model. The record is from RNAcentral.